UUCGACAGUCCUUCCGGAACACAAUGCGCAUGUGCACACCUCGGCGCUCCUCAUUGGCUGAGAUAGAACAGAGGAGGAGUUUGUGGCGGGGUUCCUUCCAAGCCAAUGUCGGGUUUCAAGUAAACUGCAGCUCUCAGGCCACGGACGCCCAUACUUUAACAGACACUCGCACGGUUGGCCAGGGUUCGAGGCCAAGCACCAGUAGCCAGGGGUCCACCCAUAACAACAUCAUCAGAAGAAUUGACGGCCCAAGCACCACAGGUUUCGAUUGAUCAGCCGAAAGACAUUACUAAUGUGUAAUAGUUUUAGGGCUUUUUCCCAGCGAGAGGUCAAUCGGGUCAUUUAAUGUAUAUCUCUUGAAGUAGGAUUGUGGCUGAUACACUGAUAAUUAUUUAUGUGUCGUGGGCGAAGCUUCUGACUACAAGUAGUAUUCUUAUGACUUUAAUAAGUUAUAUGGAUACUAGCAGUACGUCCUAUUGCAGUAUCAAUAAAUUUCAUGGCGUGUUCCCCUGAUGUUGUGAUGUAUAAAUUGUAGAUAUUUUUUAAUAAAGUUGUGGAAAAACCAAAAACAA
Aplysia californica (California sea hare) is the source of this 572-nucleotide long non-coding RNA. RefSeq lists it as uncharacterized. The record is from RefSeq and is a predicted model, not a curated record. The transcript is spliced from 2 exons. Lineage: Eukaryota; Metazoa; Mollusca; Gastropoda; Aplysiida; Aplysiidae.